RNAcentral lists this transfer RNA (73 nucleotides) under Ictidomys tridecemlineatus (thirteen-lined ground squirrel). RNAcentral describes it as "Spermophilus tridecemlineatus (thirteen-lined ground squirrel) tRNA". It matches the Rfam family "tRNA". Rfam says of the family: Transfer RNA (tRNA) molecules are approximately 80 nucleotides in length. Their secondary structure includes four short double-helical elements and three loops (D, anti-codon, and T loops). Lineage: Eukaryota; Metazoa; Chordata; Mammalia; Rodentia; Sciuridae. The record is from Rfam by way of RNAcentral.
GGGGAUGUAGCUCAAGUGGUAGAGUGCUUGCCGCUCAUGCAUAAGGUCCUGGGUUCAAUUCCCAGCAUCACAA